Molecule: unclassified non-coding RNA, 1501 nt
Filed under: Hevea brasiliensis (rubber tree)
Lineage: Eukaryota; Viridiplantae; Streptophyta; Magnoliopsida; Malpighiales; Euphorbiaceae
Source: RNAcentral
GGUCGAUUUACUUUCUCUCUAAAGAAGACGAUCGACCGCUUCCCGGCGAUUGUUAACGAUCCUCUUCCCUUUUUUUAAGGCUGCGAAUUCUCUCUCUCCGGCGAAAUCAAGCUUAUGCGAGAUUCUUUUUGACUGUUGCAUAGCUAUGUCGGUUAACAAUAAUAAUAACCCUAACAAGAAUAUCGGAGGACCAUCUUCCUUUGGCAAUUCACCGCCGGGGAAUCCGAUGGCACAUCUCCAGGCACAAUCACAAGGCCAGCAACAGAUGCCUUCAGGGUUUCCUGGGGCAUUUCAGCUAUCGCAGCUAUCUGCUGCACAUGCCCAAGCAAUUGCUCAAGCUCAGUCGAAAGUUCAGGCUCAUGCGCAAGCUCAAGCACAAGCUCAAGCUGCUCAUGCCCAGUUUCAGGCCCAGUUACAGGCUCAGGGUUUGUCUCUUAGCCAGGCUCAUGCUCUUGGCAAUUUUGGUUCUUCCUCACCCUCGAUGCCUGGAAGUGCUUUGGCAAAACGCUUACCUCAGAAACCUCCUGUGCGGCCACCUGCAUUCACAACUACUAACACAAUUUCUCCAAUGAGAACAAUGGAGCUUUCAGCGGCUGCUCGUAGGAAAAAGCAGAAGCUUCCUGAGAAGCACAUGAACGAGAAGGUGGCAGCCAUUUUGCCUGAAUCUUCCCUUUAUACUCAGCUCCUUGAGUUUGAAUCUCGGGUUGAUUCCGCUUUAACAAGAAAGAAAGUUGACAUCCAGGAGUCAUUGAAGAAUCCACCUACUAUUCAGAAGACGCUUCGAAUUUAUGUAUUCAAUAGUUUUGCUAAUCAGGUUCGUACCAUUCCUAAGAAGCCAACAGCUGAACCUCCUACAUGGACUCUUAAGAUUGUAGGAAGGAUUUUGGAGGAGGGAAUGGAUCCUGAUCAAGCUGCCAUGUUUCAGAAAACUAGCUCCAUGUACCCAAAGUUCUCUACUUUCUUCAAAAGAGUCACCAUUUCCUUGGACCAGAAACUCUAUCCUGAUAACCAUAUUAUAAUUUGGGACUCUGCGCGAUCUCCUGCACCUCAGGAUGGUUUUGAGGUCAAAAGAAAAGGAGAGCAAGAGUUCACUGCUAAUUUAAGACUAGAAUUGAAUUACAUGCCUGAGAAAUACAAACUUUCACCAGCUUUAACUGAAGUUCUGGGUAUUGAGGUUGAGACUCGUGCUAGAAUUGUCUCUUCUAUCUGGCAUUAUGUUAAGGCUCGAAAGUUGCAGAACCCUGAUGAUCCUUCUUACUUCAACUGUGAUCCUCCACUUCAGAAAGUUUUUGGGGAAGGAAAGGUUAAGUUCAAUACAGUCACACAAAAGAUCACACCUCAUUUGUCUCCUCCACAACCCAUACAUUUGGAACACAGGAUUAAGCUUUCUGGAAAUAACCCUGUUGGAACUGCUUGUUACGAUGUAUUGGUUGAUGUGCCAUUCCCUAUCCAGAGGGAGCUGAAUGCUUUGCUUGCCAAUACCGAAAAGACCAAAGAGAUU